UACGGGGGGGGCAAGCGUUGUUCGGAAUUACUGGGCGUAAAGGGUCUGUAGGUGGCUCGCUAAGUCAGACGUGAAAUCCCUCAGCUCAACUGGGGAACUGCGUCUGAGACUGGCAAGCUUGAGUGCAGGAGAGGAACGCGGAAUUCCAGGUGUAGCGGUGAAAUGCGUAGAUAUCUGGAGGAACACCGGUGGCGAAGGCGGCGUUCUGGACUGCAACUGACACUGAUAGACGAAAGCCAGGGGAGCAAACGGG
Molecule: ribosomal RNA, 253 nt
Filed under: uncultured bacterium
Lineage: Bacteria
Description: partial 16S ribosomal RNA
Rfam family: Bacterial small subunit ribosomal RNA
Source: RNAcentral